AUAUAUAUAUGACAGCAUCUCUUGGUGCCUCCCGAGUCCUUGGAUCAGCAGGAGAAAUAAGACAAUGUGUUUCUAGAACCUAGUAUGACCUGAGUACCCAUCCAUAAACACUAUACCUGCCAUCAACUUUAAUCCUUGCAGUAGCCUGGGGAAGGAAGGGAAGGAGUUAGGAUCCUUGUGAAAAAUGAUGAAACCAAUGCUUCUAAAUGUUAAGCAAUUUGUCCAAAGUCACAUCCCUUGUGAAUGGCCAGUCAGGAACUGGGAUCUAGCUCUGUCUGCCUAGAAGAAACUAGCUAUAAUACCUUACUGCAUUGCUGCUUAAAAAUUCUUUGUAAAACUCUUAUUCCUUUACAAAAGUGUUUUUUUAAAUCAGUUAAGUCAUUGAGGUAUAGCAUGAUAGAAAUUCUCUAAAUAAAAAUCUUAGAUUUUUCUUUCAUAAAUGCUAGAUUUUAUCCCAUCAGAGACUGCUUUAAAGUUCAUUUGUUCUAAUAUAAAAAAGGAGAGAAUCUCCUAGAAUGUGGGGAGGUGACUGAAAAAAAUAUGACUUAAUACAGUCUGAAAUUGCCACAGCCUCUACACUUAGAAGUGAGACAUUGAGUCGUGUUUCUUUCUUUACUCUUCGUGAAAAAAAAAUCUAAACAUUGAAUUGACAACAUUUCCUCAAGUACCAUCCCUCUGCCAACUGCUGUGUGAAUCACAAAGUGAGCCCUGAACUCAAGGUCUUUCAUCUCAGCAUUUGCUUAAAUGAUAACUACCUCUUGAUCAUUUUCUCUCUUUUGCUGAUGAAAUUCUACAAUUUAUAGAAUUUAUUAGCGUUCUUUAUAAGUCUUAAGAGGAUAAGAAAGUGGAGUUCAAAGCAGAAUAAAUAGCCCAGCUCUGCAAUAUAAAAAAGUUAUCUCCAGAUUUAUUUGUGCUGUGGAAAAGUAGUGGUAGAGGGGCAGUAAAUGUUACUUAUUGAGCACUCUUUGCAUGUAAGUGCUUCUCUCACAUUACAGAAUAAUGCCCACACAGCCCCAGAAAUAUCUGAGAGUAUUAAUUACUACCUUGAGGUCUCUGGGUAGGAAUUCGAAAUAAGAAAGGGGAAGAAAGGGAUAGUUAGUAGAUAUAGGCAAUAUGGUUACCUGAUUUAUUCCAGAUUCCAAGCCUAGACACAAAAUCCCAGGCUGGCUCUAAAAUUGUCAUUCUUUUCUCUUCAAAUCAUAUUUUUUUUGAGAAAUAUCCACAGGCAAUGUUGAUAUCUUUGUGGUCAUCCCAGUACAUAUUUUAUGUGAGACAGAUAAAGCAGAGUCAUUAUAGCUUUCUUCUUUUUACUUUAGCGCAUCAAAGAAAAGAAGAUGAAGAAUUAAAAUGCACGAGUGAUUAUAGAGCAGUUAGUGGGCAUCAUUCUUCAGACACUUCAGCUACUGCCUGAAGUCUCGAAUGCAGGAAGUAGCUGGGGUGACUGCCAAUUAUUUGCUGGGUGACCUUGGACAAGUCUUGCACCCUCUCUGGAGCAUCUGCUUUUUCAUCUGUAAAGCUAUGGAACUGUCUUGCUGUAGGAGGGGCAGGAUGUCAACAGAGGUGAUGCUCAAAAGAUUUAACAGGUCAUAAAGUGUGAGUACUGAGUAAUCAAAAAGGAUCAGGGUCUAAGUAUAGAGCAGGUCCAAAGGCAUCUGCCAUGCCAUGUGUUAACACUUUGGGUGCUGAAUCAAGGAGAAAUCAAGGAGGUCCCAAAGAAGAAGCAGGGGGCCAGGAGAAGGGGUAGUAAUCAGCUGUCUUUGAGCAAGAGCUAUUUACAAAAGAAUCGAGUGUAUUAACAAACAAUACUACCAUUUCUGUACACACCAACUAAAUGGCCUGAGUUUGAAGGUGAAAUAAGCUCAUCUGUGUAAAGUAUUUAGCGUUUAGCCGCUGCUUAGAGAAGUAGGCACCCAGCAGAUGUAGCUUGCUUCUUUCCUCUCCUUCCUUUUCCAUUUAUCUCCCAGCCCACAUGUCCCUCUCUAUAUACAACACAGUCAUUCCUCAGACCCUGUGAUACAUAACCUGUCUCUCUUCAUAAUGGAUUUUUGUAGGCAUGGAAAGUUUCAGACUUAUUCUCAAAACACCUGAGUCAAAAUUCUUUUUAAUGCUCCUGCAAAUACAGUUUUCCACAAUGCCUUUGGAAUUGGCAAUGUAGUUGAGAUUGUCUGAGACCAGACUUCCCAGGGAAUGAGAUGGCAUGGCUCUAACAUGACAGGUAGCAAAGAUCACAGGCAUCAACAGACCUCAGUUUGGAGAUGUUGAGACUUUGGGCAAGGUACUUCCUAUUGUUAAGCCUCGGCCUGUCACCUGAAUAAGAAAAUGGAGAGAGAGAUUUGGCUAUUUCAAACUUGAUUGUACAUAGAACUACCCAGAAGAUUUAAAAUACACUAUCUGUGUGCCAUUCACAGAGACUCUAAUUUAAGUGAUUUAGGGAGUCCUGGACUUGGGAUUUUUAAAGGGCCCCUGGGUAAUUUUAAUGGGUAGCAAAAAUUGAUAUUUAUGGAGCAUUCCAUCUGAAAGCAGCAGAAUAUACAUUCUUUUCCCAUGCACAUGGAACAUUCUCCAGGAUAUAUCACAUGCUGGGCCACAAAGGAAGGCUCAGUAAAUUUAAGAAAGUUUAAGUCAUAUCAAGCAUCUUUUCUAAACACAAUGCUAUGAGAUUAUAAAUCAACUAUAAGAAAAAAAAAACUAUAAAAAAACCACACAAAUACUUGGAGGCUACACAACAUGCUACUAAAUAACCAAUGGAUCGCUGAAGAAAUUAAAGAGGAAAUUAAAAAAUACCUAGAGACAAAUCAAAAUGAAAACACAAAAUCCAAAACAUACAAGAUAUCGCAAAAGAAGUUCUGAGAGGGGAGUUUAUAGCAAUACAAGCUUAACCCAGUAAACAAGAAAAAUAUCAAAUAAACAACCCAAGCUUAUACCUAAAGCAACUAUAGAAAGAGGAACAAAACCUAAAGUUAAUAGAAGGAAGGAAAUCAUAAAGAUCAGAACAGAAAUAAAUGAAAGAGAGAC
RNAcentral lists this long non-coding RNA (3015 nucleotides) under Sus scrofa (pig). RNAcentral describes it as "lncRNA (ENSSSCG00000058311.1)". The record is from RNAcentral. Lineage: Eukaryota; Metazoa; Chordata; Mammalia; Artiodactyla; Suidae.